Canis lupus familiaris (dog) is the source of this 1205-nucleotide long non-coding RNA. RefSeq lists it as uncharacterized. The transcript is spliced from 5 exons. The record is from RefSeq and is a predicted model, not a curated record. Lineage: Eukaryota; Metazoa; Chordata; Mammalia; Carnivora; Canidae.
GUGGGGGGAGGUGCUCGCCGACGCCCGGCGCGGUGUGUAGCUCCGGGGGUGUUUGGACGGCCUCGAGGACCCGGAAUUCCUUGCUCAGACGUGGUCCUAGGACGGCCGAAACAAAACAAAAUUGAAAGUGGAAGAAAUACUGACCUUGAUUGAGAUAAAGCCUUCUUUGAAACAUAAUUUCUAAAAGAUCCUUUAAAGUUAAAGAAGACAUACAAUGAAAACAUUUCAAGGUGGAGUUCCAUCAGCUUUGAAGGAUUGUCCCCAAAUGGGCAGUCAUGUGUGGCUUCAGGGAGGCCCGUGCUCAGCAGUUGUUAUCAGCCCACAAUGCCAGGAUGGCAGCAUCUAGUCAAGGCUUCAGCCCCAUCAGUGGCCUGGCUAUUUGGGAAUCUGAAAUUACCUGGUUUCUCCCUGAAAUGAAGAGAGUACUGAAGUACUUUUCCUGUAAGGAAACCCUCCAUAAAAUAACACACAUUGUUACCUGUCCAUACUCUCUUCCACCUGCUUCCAGGAAGAUGACCUCUUUCGGAGCCUGCCCCAAGUCUGAGGGCUUCUGAAUGUUCCUUGCAAAGAGUCACAGUGAAGCACACAGCACAGAGCAGUCCCCCAAGGAGCAGUGUCACAGGGAUGACGAAAAGCAUCUCCCACUGCAGCUCACCCGGGGCCACAGGUCUGGGGCUGGGCCUCAGGCCUUCGCCCUUACGCACUGCACUUCCCAGGGACUAUGAGCUCACAGGGAAACACGGAGGCUUUGGAGAAAAGACGCCAUAAAGGAAGACUGUCAACUGAGGAGCUCCUCAUAACAGACAAAGCAAAAAUAACGUAUGAAAGUAUUCUUCUGUCUGGAGGUUGGGAGCCAUGGCUUCAUGGGCUGCGACAAUGGGGUGUGAUCCUGACUCCUGGUUUUCCUUUCCGAUCAGCUGAGCUCCCCCUCUGGUCUGCCAGUCCUCAGGAGCUCGGAGCUCAGGGGCUCUGCUGGGUGAGGCCAGGGACUCCGAGCUCCUUCCAGGUUUCCCCCGCAAGGUGAGAGAGCUGCAGUUCUAUCACUUCCAAGUACUGGGGGAUGGUUCUUCUUCAAUAAAUUCCGUUUGUGCUGCUGUUGCCUUGACCAUUUGCCUCCCCAGACUCCCCUGGGUGAGCAAAGACUCCAGGAGUCCCCCACCUGCCUCCUCUAUUGGACACGUCUGCCUUAAAAAAAAAAAAAAAAA